AUGGAAGGAUCUUUUCUUCCAUCUCAGAACUCAAUUUAUCCUCAGCAGCAUUGCAUUCAUUUAGGGCAAUUUGCUUCAGUUCCCUUAAUUCUACUAUGAGGUCACUAUAACUACAAUCAUAAAAUCUAAAGCUUAAGGCACAACCAUAAUCAUCUGAUACGAAUGAUGAGCUAAGCCCACCUGCCCAAAUACUUUUCUGGUUUAUUCUAGAAGGGGAAAAAGAGCACUAGAAGACUCAAGAUAAAGUUUUUUCUGAUCAACGGAUAAUUAUGCAAUAUAUGAAGAUGAAGAUUCUCAUACAACUUAGGAAUUAUAUUCAUUAU
Molecule: unclassified non-coding RNA, 323 nt
Filed under: Hevea brasiliensis (rubber tree)
Lineage: Eukaryota; Viridiplantae; Streptophyta; Magnoliopsida; Malpighiales; Euphorbiaceae
Source: RNAcentral